AACGGCGUGCGACGCGCAGGCGCCGGGAAGCCCACUGGGCGGAAACUGGAGCGAGCCCGCCCUCCUCCAGCCCCGCGGCCUCCCUUUCGCGCCCCCUAUCGGCAGGGCCAGUGGGGCAGCAGAAGCGUGGCUCGCAGGGCCCAGCCCCAGCCACAUGCACCGAGCUGAGCGCGCGCUGGCCUGUGUGGAGCCCAGGCAAGAACGGAGUAACUGGUACAGAGGAGACUUUGCGUUUUCAGGAAUGCAGUGUCCCGUUUCCAGGAGCUCUGCAGAGUCUCAUCCAUCCCUGGGGAAGGAAGACACCCGGCUGCAAUCAAGAACCCCGCACCCGUCCAGGUCUCAGCUCGUGCCGUCACCCCUGAGGCUGGAACAGUCUCUGAAGAGGGGCUGCACAGUUCCACGGGGGAAACUGUGAAGGAAAACAUAGGCCUGGCCUGUCAGCGGGGGAGUCCCAGAAAACGCUCUGGUCAGUCGGCGCUUGAAGAUAAAACUCAGCCAUAGAAGGUGAUGACAGCAGCCACUGAUGAUCAGCACUUAGACCCACUAAUUCAUUAGGAGCUACACAAUGAGGGAGGCUCUGGAUACAUUCUAAAGAGAUCUGUGGCCUGAAGGAGGAUGAGAACUUAUAAAGAAACAUGUGAACUAAAAUGGAAGAAAGGGACAAAUGGAAGCAUAUCUGGGGACUAGAAAAACAUCACAAAAACUCAAUGUACUAGAAGAUCGGCUAAAAUUGCAAAGCACUUACAAAUAACAUAGGAUGUGGCAGCCCAAUGAGCAAGGAGUAACAGUAAACAUGUGGACCACCGAACCCUGAGGCUGACUCUUCGCUGGCUUCUGCCCCGUGCUUGCUGCCUUGGAUGUCGUGUAAACCCAUGCUGUUCCCACCCAGCAUUUCCAAAACGAUACCGGACUUCCUGGAGCAACAGGGUAGAGUUCUUUUGAGUAAAGGGAAAGGAAUGGAAGCUGGCUCAAAUAACCUGCAGAAGAAAGAGGGUGAAAAACUACCAAGACUAAGGGACUUGCAGCUAGUUACCCUGCAGUGGGGUUGCUAUCGGUGACUGUGGGUUUUGUGCUCUGGCCUCUGUGGAAUAGCAGGUUUCCCCCAGGGACUUCUGACAUUGGAGCUUUGCAUUGGCCACUCCACUUUUUACUCAUCCCAUCAUCCCACCUCCACUGUCAAUCAAGGGUGUGACCUUGACUUGGACGCCUGUGUGUCUCCCUGCCAGUUUUCCCAGGCUGUGAUUAAGACUGCAGUUCUGGGUCAUCUGUAUACCCAGGGUGGGUCCUGGUAAGGACUCAUCCCAUCUUCAAGAGCCCAGAAGAAAUAUGCAUGCACAGAAAUAAGUGAAACAUAGCAAGGCGGCUGCUGCAACAGUGGUGCAGGUCCAGGCCAUGAUACAGACAAGUGUUAGAGCCACCUCCCAGGAAGGCUGCAUGGAGGAGGUACCCUGAGGAGAGUCGAAACCCGACAAGCAUAUAUGAACUUGCUGGGUAGACGGGGGCAGUAACCUCCUCAGGUAGACAGUGCUUAGGCCCUUUGGAUGACUUCCUGCAGCCCUUAACACUGUCUCCUCUUCUGUCUGUACACAAGAAAAAUAAACCAACCUAAGUCAUACUUUCAUGUGACUCUUUUUUUUCUUCCAUGAGUCAAGAGACUGUCAAUAAAUGAGCUCUUCCUUCCUCGACAUAAAGAACUAAAAUGGUAUUAAUCAGAUGCUUAGCAGCAUAACUGAUAAAGUUCCAAAGGUAUCUAGGAGGAAGAGGGCAAUAAAACGUUAUGUUUGUAAAAGCAGAAUGUCUUAGAGCUUUCAAAGGGUGUUGAUAACUACUAAUGCUUUCAAUUCCGAAAACUUAUCAGAAGUUGUCUGAUAUUAUUAUCCUUAUUACACGGCUGGGCAAAGUAAAGUCUUAGGGAGAUCAUAUGACUUCUAGGUCUUCCAGAUUUGAUGAACUGUAGAUGGAUAAGUGGGGUUACCUGGACACCUGGUCCAGUGCUUUCCUUUGGCAACAACAGAACGGGAGGAGUGGCUUAGUGGGAAGAGUGGGCAAUUCCAGGCUGGAGUCAUGAAGCCUCGGUUUGAUGAGAAAUCCUACUUUGUACAUACUGCUGGGCUCUGAGAAUCCAGGGAGAGAGACCAAGGGUCUCAAGGACCUGUCGCAGAUGAACAAAGUGGAAUUUGUAAACAAACUGAAGAUCCAUGCUUCCCGCCUGGAAUUGCUCAUUUUCCAUGAAAAUACAAGGCCUGAGUAGGGAGCGUGUCUAUAUCACAGAGAGUCUGAUGUUGGUCGGGGGGUGGGGGUAGAAAGAGAUGAAUGCUGUCUGCAGAACAUCACGAGCAAACACUGCUACACUUGAAAGAAAUGUGAACUCUUUCCUUUAUAAAUGUGAGUAUCACUGGAGCACUGUUUGUAGAAAUGUGGCCACCGACCAGGACUGUCCUUGACUGAACUGUGGGCAGACUCUGAGGAAGAAGGUUCCUGCCAGUAGGGACAGCCAUGUGUCCCAGGUGCUGUAAGCAUUUUUGAUUUAUAUGAAAAGGAGAUUCUGCUUUUCUUUCUCAAAAAGAAAAAAAAAAAGUUUGAAAGAUGAUUGUGCACAUUCUUUGUAUAGUGUUUCUGUUUUGUUUCAUUCAAUAUAACUUCACCGAACAUCUACCAGGUACAGACAUCAUUCCAGAUCAUGAGGAUACAAGGAAAGAAGGGACUAUCCUGCUGGUGCACCUUUGCUAGUCCUGUUUCCUCUACUUAGACCCCCCAUUCUUCUGGAUCACCCUUCCCCAGGAGGCUCCCCGUUUCCUUACACUGUAUCCUAGGUAGGGAAGGUACCCUUUCUCUCUCUGCUCGCCUCAGUCAUACCCCCUGGACUGGGAUCCCUGAGGCCAAAUCCUGGCUAUUCUCUGUCUCUGGUCCCAGAAUCUCACAGGUGAGGCACAGAACAAGUCUUGACAAAUGUAUAGGGAUCAACAGGUACCCUCAGGCCCUGUCCCGCAGGCCCUGUUUAGUGAUAUUAAACAGGCCAUGUUCACCUCAGCGAGGUCUGCCUGUUGUCAGCUCUGGAAAGAUGUGGGGUGUGAGCAUAUCCUCAAACAGGCAGAAGCCUUCCCUUUUCAUGGACCUGUUGAGAAGAAGCUCCCACAGUCUUCCAUCUGGGGCCUGGGCACCUUCCUUGGGCCAGGCUCUAUAAAGGCCAUCCCUUAAUCGGCCAAUCUCAGCGUUUUUGUUUCUGCCACAUCCACAUGGCAGGCUGUUUCCAGGCAUGGCACCCCCAGAGGUGGGGCCAGAGUUGGGGAAAUGUUUUCUAGGAAGGGAUGUGCCAUAGUAAUUGGCCACAGCCUCAGCUCUUCAGGACUGUGCACAAACCUUGCCUCAGCCUUCUAUGCCAUUAUUCAGAAAAACACACUAACAAAGAAAGGGAAUUGGCUUCGUCAUGUUCAUGUGAUCGGGAUAACACUGAGUCCAUUCUGAGUGAUAAAAAUAAAACUGACAAACUUUACUACCUUAACUCUCAUGAGUAAUAAUGUAUUAGAAACAGACUUGUGUUCAUCAGAAAACAAUCGUGUUGUAAUUUGCCGCUGAUAACCUCUCAAAGAGGAUGCUGACUCCUGCACCUUUGGGCAGCCAAGGGUCAGCGCAGGUGUGGGCAGUCCCCAGAGGAUGUGAGAACAGCAAACUUUGGAAGCAGGAAGGGCCUUCGCAAGCAUCUGGGAGCUGCCGUUUUUGCCACCCUCGACGUGUGGUAAAGGGGCAUUGGGGUGAUUGUGGCUGCGGCACGCCUGAAUAAUUGCAAACAACAUGAUACUCUGCUACUAACGCCAACUUCUCACAUUUCUGGAAUUAUGCCCAACACUGAGCAAAAGCAAGAGCGCAAAUUAUAUUGUGAGAAGGCUUUGGUUUCUGACUUUUUAAAGGAAUAUUUAGAGUAUUGCAUAAGGCUUUCAUACCACACUGUUCAUUUACAAUAAAAUGAACUUUUGCUUCCUGCAUGGCUGUUGGCAGAUGUGGUCCUGGAGAAGGGUCUCCUGACUGUAGAGUCAGUGCUUCAGCUGGAGGAGAUGUAGCUGUCCUCCAGCCCUGCCCAUCCCUACUCCCCAAAGGCCUCUUUCAGAUCUCUCAGGGGUCAGGCUCUGAGUGGGGAAAAAUGGAUCCCUGGGUCCAAGCAGGCGACGCUUUUAACCUGAGUUACAGACAAGGGUGAGAUCAGGAAAGGGGAGGGACGGACUUGCUUGGGUGCAACAUCGAAGGGGACACCAAAAACUUGGUAAUUGAGAUAAAUGCCACAUAAUUUAAUAUUCAGAAAAUCAGAAUUAAUACAAAGUGGUAUUGCUUUUUCCCCUUUUGCCUCAAGCUUCCAUAGGGCUUGGCCCAGCUUUGUUUCUGGUCCUGUUACCUAAGAUUUUGAUAUUUUGUUCACUGUGGAUUUUGUACUAAUGUUGAUUUUUAAAAAUAUUACAUGGAAGCAUUAUUCAUUAAUUUUUGGGUGUCUGCCCCAGGCUAGGAACUUACUUGUAUCGUUACAGUCCCACCCCUGUUACAGAUGCUCCUGUGCACAAAAAAGCACCAUGGGGAAUCAGAAGGGUGAGUCUAUGCAAGCCUCCAGGGGCUCACGCAUUGUCUCUCUCUCCCCAUUCCAUUUCACCUGUGCUCUCUGCGCAGGCUUCGAGGUUGAGGAGGCAAAACAAAAACAAAAACAAAAACAAACAACAACAAAAACACUUGUCUUAUUUUCACUGGCGGGCGGUGUCUGAUGUAAGAUCUUGAGUCGCAGCUUCCUAAUAUACUCCUCAUUGGUAACUUACAAUUAAUUCACAGGAUAUUCUUGGUUUAAAACAAACCUGGGGACCAGACUGAAAAUGCAUUUCAGGACAUCUGCAGGGAUCAUGAAAAUCUCAGCAUUAGGUAAUUCUCUCUAUAAGACACCUUCAGGCAUAAAAAUAUAUUCAAAUAAAAACCGUAUUAGGGGA
This is a non-coding RNA of Macaca mulatta (Rhesus monkey), 4961 nucleotides long. NCBI's taxonomy places the organism in Eukaryota, Metazoa, Chordata, Mammalia, Primates, Cercopithecidae. The record is from RefSeq and is a predicted model, not a curated record.